AGAAUGAACGCUGGCGGCAUGCCUAACACAUGCAAGUCGAACGAAGCCUUCGGGCUUAGUGGCGCACGGGUGCGUAACGCGUGGGAAUCUGCCCUUGGGUUCGGAAUAACAGUUGGAAACGACUGCUAAUACCGGAUGAUGACGUAAGUCCAAAGAUUUAUCGCCCAGGGAUGAGCCCGCGUAGGAUUAGCUAGUUGGUGAGGUAAAGGCUCACCAAGGCGACGAUCCUUAGCUGGUCUGAGAGGAUGAUCAGCCACACUGGGACUGAGACACGGCCCAGACUCCUACGGGAGGCAGCAGUGGGGAAUAUUGGACAAUGGGCGAAAGCCUGAUCCAGCAAUGCCGCGUGAGUGAUGAAGGCCUUAGGGUUGUAAAGCUCUUUACCCGGGAUGAUAAUGACAGUACCGGGAGAAUAAGCUCCGGCUAACUCCGCGCCAGCAGCCGC
This 445-nucleotide ribosomal RNA is filed under the name uncultured bacterium. RNAcentral's name for it is "SSU rRNA". It matches the Rfam family "Bacterial small subunit ribosomal RNA", at positions 26 to 518 of the family's 1533-position model. The record is from RNAcentral.